ACUCCUGCGGGAGGCAGCAGUGGGGAAUUUUGGACAAUGGGCGAAAGCCUGAUCCAGCAAUGCCGCGUGAGUGAAGAAGGCCUUCGGGUUGUAAAGCUCUUUUGUCAGGGAAGAAACGGUGAGAGCUAAUAUCUUUUGCUAAUGACGGUACCUGAAGAAUAAGCACCGGCUAACUACGUGCCAGCAGCCGCGGUAAUACGUAGGGUGCAAGCGUUAAUCGGAAUUCCUGGGCGUAAAGCGUGCGCAGGCGGUUUUGUAAGUCUGAUGUGAAAUCCCCGGGCUCAACCUGGGAAUUGCAUUGGAGACUGCAAGGCUAGAAUCUGGCAGAGGGGGGUAGAAUUCCACGUGUAGCAGUGAAAUGCGUAGAUAUGUGGAGGAACACCGAUGGCGAAGGCAGCCCCCUGGGUCAAGAUUGACGCUCAUGCACGAAAGCGUGGGGAGCAAACAGGAUUAGAAACCCUGGUAGUCC
Molecule: ribosomal RNA, 469 nt
Filed under: uncultured organism
Description: partial 16S ribosomal RNA
Rfam family: Bacterial small subunit ribosomal RNA
Source: RNAcentral